GACGAACGCUGGCGGCGUGCUUAACACAUGCAAGUCGAACGCUGAAGCACCAGCUUGCUGGUGUGGAUGAGUGGCGAACGGGUGAGUAAUACGUGAGUAACCUGCCCUUGACUCUGGGAUAAGCCCGGGAAACUGGGUCUAAUACUGGAUGCUACAUGUCACCGCAUGGUGGUGUGUGGAAAGGGUUUACUGGUCUUGGGUGGGCUCACGGCCUAUCAGCUUGUUGGUGAGGUAAUGGCUCACCAAGGCGACGACGGGUAGCCGGCCUGAGAGGGUGACCGGCCACACUGGGACUGAGACACGGCCCAGACUCCUACGGGAGGCAGCAGUGGGGAAUAUUGCACAAUGGGCGAAAGCCUGAUGCAGCGACGCCGCGUGAGGGAUGACGGCCUUCGGGUUGUAAACCUCUUUCAGCAGGGAAGAAGCCACAAGUGACGGUACCUGCAGAAGAAGCGCCGGCUAACUACGUG
RNAcentral lists this ribosomal RNA (470 nucleotides) under uncultured bacterium. RNAcentral's name for it is "partial 16S ribosomal RNA". It matches the Rfam family "Bacterial small subunit ribosomal RNA", at positions 28 to 507 of the family's 1533-position model. The record is from RNAcentral.